This 449-nucleotide ribosomal RNA is filed under the name uncultured bacterium. RNAcentral describes it as "partial 16S ribosomal RNA". It matches the Rfam family "Bacterial small subunit ribosomal RNA", at positions 29 to 523 of the family's 1533-position model. The record is from RNAcentral.
AACGAACGCUGGCGGCAGGCCUAACACAUGCAAGUCGAGCGGACCCUUCGGGGUUAGCGGCGGACGGGUGAGUAACGCGUGGGAAUAUGCCCUUCUCUGCGGAAUAGCCUCGGGAAACUGAGAGUAAUACCGCAUACGCCCUUUGGGGGAAAGAUUUAUCGGGGAAGGAUUAGCCCGCGUUGGAUUAGGUAGUUGGUGGGGUAAUGGCCUACCAAGCCGACGAUCCAUAGCUGGUUUGAGAGGAUGAUCAGCCACACUGGGACUGAGACACGGCCCAGACUCCUACGGGAGGCAGCAGUGGGGAAUCUUAGACAAUGGGGGCAACCCUGAUCUAGCCAUGCCGCGUGAGUGAUGAAGGCCUUAGGGUUGUAAAGCUCUUUCAGCUGGGAAGAUAAUGACGGUACCAGCAGAAGAAGCCCCGGCUAACUCCGUGCCAGCAGCCGCCGUAA